Molecule: ribosomal RNA, 490 nt
Filed under: uncultured bacterium
Lineage: Bacteria
Description: partial 16S ribosomal RNA
Rfam family: Bacterial small subunit ribosomal RNA
Source: RNAcentral
AUUGAACGCUGGCGGCAGGCCUAACACAUGCAAGUCGAACGGUAACAGGAAGCAGCUUGCUGCUUCGCUGACGAGUGGCGGACGGGUGAGUAAUGUCUGGGAAGCUGCCUGAUGGAGGGGGAUAACUACUGGAAACGGUAGCUAAUACCGCAUAAUGUCGCAGGACCAAAGAGGGGGACCUUCGGGCCUCUUGCCAGCGGAUGUGCCCAGAUGGGAUUAGCUUGUUGGUGGGGUAACGGCUCACCAAGGCGACGAUCCCUAGCUGGUCUGAGAGGAUGACCAGCCACACUGGAACUGAGACACGGUCCAGACUCCUACGGGAGGCAGCAGUGGGGAAUAUUGCACAAUGGGCGCAAGCCUGAUGCAGCCAUGCCGCGUGUAUGAAGAAGGCCUUCGGGUUGUAAAGUACUUUCAGCGGGGAGGAAGGGAGUAAAGUUAAUACCUUUGCUCAUUGACGUUACCCGCAGAAGAAGCACCGGCUAACUCCGUG